Molecule: ribosomal RNA, 279 nt
Filed under: uncultured bacterium
Lineage: Bacteria
Description: partial 16S ribosomal RNA
Rfam family: Bacterial small subunit ribosomal RNA
Source: RNAcentral
UGCCAGCAGCCGCGGUAACACGGGGGGCGCAAGCGUUAUUCGGAAUUAUUGGGCGUAAAGGGCGCGUAGGCGGUCUUGUCCGUCAGGUGUGAAAGCUCGGGGCUCAACCCCGGAAGUGCACUUGAAACAGCAAGACUUGAAUACGGUAGAGGAGAGAGGAAUUCCUGGUGUAGAGGUGAAAUUCGUAGAUAUCAGGAGGAACACCGAUGGCGAAGGCAUCUCUCUGGGCUAAAACUGACGCUGAGGCGCGAAAGCUAGGGGAGCAAACAGGAUUAGAUA